Chlamydia psittaci 10_743_SC13 is the source of this 106-nucleotide non-coding RNA. NCBI's taxonomy places the organism in Bacteria, Pseudomonadati, Chlamydiota, Chlamydiia, Chlamydiales, Chlamydiaceae. The record is from Rfam.
CUUGGUGAUAAUGGAAAAAGGGGUACACCUGAUACCAUUCCGAACUCAGAAGUUAAGCUUUUUAUCUAUGGGUGAGAAGAUUUCAUAUGCUUAAUACGUACGAAGG